UAGGGAAUCUUGGUCAAUGGGCGCAAGCCUGAACCAGCCAUGCCGCGUGUGCGAAGAAGGCCCUAGGGUUGUAAAGCACUUUCAGUCGUGAAGAAACUCUCGAGGUUAAUACCUUCGAGCACUGACGUUAACGACAGAAGAAGCACCGGCUAACUCCGUGCCAGCAGCCGCGGUAAUACGGAGGGUGCGAACGUUAAUCGGAAUUACUGGGCGUAAAGCGCGCGUAGGCGGUUCGGUAAGUGGGAUGUGAAAGCCCCGGGCUUAACCUGGGAACUGCAUUCCAAACUGCCAGACUAGAGUAUGGUAGAGGGAGGUAGAAUUUCCUGUGUAGCGGUGAAAUGCGUAGAUAUAGGAAGGAAUACCGAUGGCGAAGGCAGCCUCCUGGACCAAUACUGACGCUGAGGUGCGAAAGCGUGGGGAGCAAACAGGAUUAGAUACCCCCGUAGUCC
RNAcentral lists this ribosomal RNA (449 nucleotides) under uncultured prokaryote. RNAcentral describes it as "bacterial SSU rRNA". It matches the Rfam family "Bacterial small subunit ribosomal RNA", at positions 355 to 796 of the family's 1533-position model. The record is from RNAcentral.